Molecule: transfer RNA, 73 nt
Filed under: Phycisphaerae bacterium
Lineage: Bacteria; Pseudomonadati; Planctomycetota; Phycisphaerae
Description: tRNA-Lys
Rfam family: tRNA
About the family: Transfer RNA (tRNA) molecules are approximately 80 nucleotides in length. Their secondary structure includes four short double-helical elements and three loops (D, anti-codon, and T loops).
Source: RNAcentral
GGGGACGUAGCUCAGUUGGUAGAGCAUCGGACUUUUAAUCCGUGGGUCCUGGGUUCGAGUCCCAGCGUCCCCA